This 1302-nucleotide long non-coding RNA is filed under the name Taeniopygia guttata (zebra finch). RNAcentral's name for it is "lncRNA (ENSTGUG00000028209.1)". Lineage: Eukaryota; Metazoa; Chordata; Aves; Passeriformes; Estrildidae. The record is from RNAcentral.
GGCGCGGGGCCGGGCGGAGCGCGGGGAGGCUGCGGCCGGAGCGGGGCCGGGCCGGGCCCUCCGCCGCUCAUGGCCCUGCCCGGGGCCCGUUCCGCCCGCCCGGCGCCCGGCGAGAGCCCGGCCCUGAGCCCGCAGCGCCGCCGGUGCGUCCGGGGGGCUCCGCCGGAGGGGGGGCCGGGCGGGCGGGAGCCGCCGGUGCGUCCCGGGGGAGCGGGAGCGGGGGAUGGGGCACCGGGGGAGCUCCGCCCGCCCCGAGCACGGGCACAGCCCGGCCCUGAGCCCGCAGCGCCGCCGCGAGCGGAGCAGAGCGGCCCCGGCCCCCGCGGAAAAGCCCUGAGGGAGGCGGGAGCCGGCGGCGAGGAGGAGGAGGAGGAGGAAGAGGAGGAGGAGGAGGAAGCGAGGGAAGGAGCCGGGGGAAAACAGGAGCGGGAAGAGCUCGGAGCGGAGCCCGGGAGCGGCCGGAGCGCGCCGGUGAGUGCAGAGUGUCCCCGUGUCCCCGGGGUGUCCCUGUCCGUGUCCCCCUGUGCCUCUGGGUGUCCCCGUGUCCCUCUGGGUGUCCUCCUGUCCCUGCGUGUGUCCCUCUGUUCCUGUCCGUGUCCCCCUGUCCCUUUGGGUGUCCCCUCUGUCCCUCUGGGUGUCCCUGUCCGUGUCCCUGUGUCCCCCUGGGUGUCCCUCUGUUCCCCUGUCUGUCCCCCUGUUCCUCUGGGUGUCCCUCUGGGUGUCCCUGUCCCAGUCCGUGUCCCUGUAUCCCCCUGGGUGUCCCUGUCCAUGUCCCUGUGUCCCCCUGGGUGUCCCUGUCCGUGUCCCCCUGUCCCUCUGUCUGUCCAUCCCCCGGCGGUCCCACCCUGCCAAGCUCAGCCUGGGGAGGACAGCGGGAGCCCACGGGGUGGGGUGGGGGGGUGACAUUCCCAGUGACACUCCCAACCCCCAUCCUGCCCCCCACAAUUUGCGGCGAGGAGCAGCCUGAACCCUCCCCAAGAACCUUCCCGUCCCUUGUCCCUCUGUCCCCGCAGGAGGACAGCCGGACACCGGACCCGCCACCCCUCCUCCUCGGCGACACCCGCUGGAAUUCCGCUUCCGAACAAACCCUCUCCUCCUCUUCCUCCUCCUCCUCCUCCUCCUCCUGCCGCCGCCACCAGCGGUGUCACCGCAGGGCCACCGGCGGAGCGUCCCCGCAUGGUGCAGCAGCGGCGGCGGCGUUAAGAUGGUGAGAGCUGGCCGGGCCGGGCCGGGCGGGGAGGAUGAGCAGCGGCACCGGCAGCACCGGCAGCACCGGCAGCACCGGCAGCACCGGCAGCACCG